Long non-coding RNA from Mastomys coucha (southern multimammate mouse), 480 nucleotides. RefSeq lists it as uncharacterized. The record is from RefSeq and is a predicted model, not a curated record. The transcript has 3 exons. NCBI's taxonomy places the organism in Eukaryota, Metazoa, Chordata, Mammalia, Rodentia, Muridae.
CCACCACACACACACUGUUUUAUAGAUGAGACCAUGUUUCCUCUUUGUUCAUAUACCUAGCACUCCAGGUUCAAGUCUCAGUCCCGAAGUUGACAAGUGAUGCAGAUUUGAGCCGAUGACCCAAUGUCAGAUUUUGUAGCAUCAGCCCAGCACGGACUUCACAGAGCUGUGCAGAGACUUAAACCAGGGGGCCUCCUCUGAACCUGACACUCAUCAAUUUGGCCAGGCUGGCUGACCAAUGAACUCCAGGAAUCUGCCUGCCUCCACUCUCCCAGUGCUGGGGUUACAGUGUGGGACAAUCAGACUACCUUUUACUUCUCCUGAGAAGACACUAGCCACCGAACCCCUAAGACAAUAAGCUAAUGCACGCUACAAACCACGCUCUGCGCGGCUUUGCUUUAGGAAGUCCACUGACUGUGCGCGUGCUUUGGGAUCUACACAGCUGACUGGAACUGUUGCCGCCCUUCCGUCCAGUGGAAA